This is a long non-coding RNA of Oncorhynchus keta (chum salmon), 506 nucleotides long. RefSeq lists it as uncharacterized. Lineage: Eukaryota; Metazoa; Chordata; Actinopteri; Salmoniformes; Salmonidae. The transcript is spliced from 3 exons. The record is from RefSeq and is a predicted model, not a curated record.
AGCCUUGUGUAUUCUGCACCAGGAUCAGGUAUCAGUCAAUAUGGGGAGGGAGAAGCCUUGUGUAUUCUGCACCAGGAUCAGGUAUCAGUCAAUAUGGGGAGGGAGAAGCCUUGUGUAUUCUGCACCAGGAUCAGGUAUCAGUCAAUAUGGGGAGGGAGAAGCCUUGUGUAUUCUGCACCAGGAUCAGGUAUCAGUCAAUAUGGGGAGGGAGAAGCCUUGUGUAUUCUGCACCAGGAUCAGGUAUCAGUCAAUAUGGGGAGGGAGAAGCCUUGUGUAUUCUGCACCAGGAUCAGGUAUCAGUCAAUAUGGGGAGGGAGAAGCCUUGUGUAUUCUGGACCAGGAUCAGGUAUCAGUCAAUAUGGGGAGGGAGAAGCCUUGUGUAUUCUGCACCAGGAUCAGGUAUCAGUCAAUAUGGGGAGGGAGAAGCCUUGUGUAUUCUGCACCAGGAUCAGGUAUCAGUCAAUAUGGGGAGGGAGAAGCCUUGUGUAUUCUGCACCAGGAUCAGG